GACGAACGCUGGCGGCGUGCUUAACACAUGCAAGUCGAACGGAAAGGCCCUGCUUGCAGGGUACUCGAGUGGCGAACGGGUGAGUAACACGUGGGUGAUCUGCCCUGCACUUCGGGAUAAGCCUGGGAAACUGGGUCUAAUACCGGGUAGGAGCCAUUUUUAGUGUGAUGGUUGGAAAGUUUUUUUCGGUGUAGGAUGAGCUCGCGGCCUAUCAGCUUGUUGGUGGGGUAAUGGCCUACCAAGGCGGCGACGGGUAGCCGGCCUGGGAGGGUGGACGGCCACAUUGGGACUGGGAUACGGCCCAGACUCCUACGGGGGGCAGCAGUGGGGAAUAUUGCACAAUGGGCGCAAGCCUGAUGCAGCGACGCCGCGUGGGGGAUGACGGCCUUCGGGUUGGAAACUCCUUUCGCUAGGGACGAAGCUUUUUGUGACGGUACCUAGAUAAGAAGCACCGGCUAACUACGUG
Molecule: ribosomal RNA, 466 nt
Filed under: uncultured bacterium
Lineage: Bacteria
Description: partial 16S ribosomal RNA
Rfam family: Bacterial small subunit ribosomal RNA
Source: RNAcentral